UUCGGGAGGGCGCUUACCACUUUGUGAUUCAUGACUGGGGUGAAGUCGUAACAAGGUAACCGUAGGGGAACCUGCGGUUGGAUCACCUCCUUACCUGAAAGAAGC
This 105-nucleotide ribosomal RNA is filed under the name Salmonella enterica. RNAcentral describes it as "partial 16S ribosomal RNA". The stretch from base 1 to 93 matches the Rfam family "Bacterial small subunit ribosomal RNA", at positions 1441 to 1533 of the family's 1533-position model. Lineage: Bacteria; Pseudomonadati; Pseudomonadota; Gammaproteobacteria; Enterobacterales; Enterobacteriaceae. The record is from RNAcentral.